RNAcentral lists this ribosomal RNA (253 nucleotides) under uncultured bacterium. RNAcentral describes it as "partial 16S ribosomal RNA". It matches the Rfam family "Bacterial small subunit ribosomal RNA", at positions 524 to 776 of the family's 1533-position model. The record is from RNAcentral.
UACAGAGGUCUCAAGCGUUGUUCGGAUUCAUUGGGCGUAAAGGGCGCGUAGGCGGCGGGGUAAGUCGGGUGUGAAAUCUCAGGGCUCAACCCUGAAAAUGCACUCGAUACUGCUCUGCUUGAGGACUGGAGAGGAGACUGGAAUUCACGGUGUAGCAGUGAAAUGCGUAGAUAUCGUGAGGAAGACCAGUGGCGAAGGCGGGUCUCUGGACAGUUCCUGACACUGAGACACGAAGGCCAGGGGAGCAAACGGG